CGGAGGAUCCGAGCGUUAUCCGGAUUUAUUGGGUUUAAAGGGUGCGUAGGCGGCUUUUUAAGUCAGCGGUGAAAUUUUGCAGCUUAACUGUAACAGUGCCGUUGAUACUGGGGAGCUAGGAUUUGGUUGCUGUGGGUGGAAUGUGUGGUGUAGCGGUGAAAUGCUUAGAGAUCACACAGAAUAUCGAUUGCGAAGGCAGCUCACAAAGCCAAGAUUGACGCUGAGGCACGAAAGUGUGGGGAUCAAACAGGAUUA
This 255-nucleotide ribosomal RNA is filed under the name uncultured prokaryote. RNAcentral describes it as "partial 16S ribosomal RNA". It matches the Rfam family "Bacterial small subunit ribosomal RNA", at positions 526 to 780 of the family's 1533-position model. The record is from RNAcentral.